CCCUCUGGACUUUCCCUAGGUUCCGUGGCUCUCUCUUCUGUGAACUCCCUCCUCCCCUUCUCCCUCUAACUGUGAGGUUACAGGUUCCCUUAACCUUGUGUCUCUCGGU
This 109-nucleotide long non-coding RNA is filed under the name Microtus ochrogaster (prairie vole). RNAcentral describes it as "Nuclear enriched abundant transcript 1 conserved region 2 (ENSMOCG00000004735.1)". It matches the Rfam family "Nuclear enriched abundant transcript 1 conserved region 2". Lineage: Eukaryota; Metazoa; Chordata; Mammalia; Rodentia; Cricetidae. The record is from RNAcentral.